GACGAACGCUGGCGGCGUGCUUAACACAUGCAAGUCGAACGCUGAAGCUCAGCUUUUGUUGGGUGGAUGAGUGGCGAACGGGUGAGUAACACGUGAGUAACCUGCCCCCUUCUUUGGGAUAACGCCCGGAAACGGGUGCUAAUACUGGAUAUUCACUGGUCUUCGCAUGGGGGUUGGUGGAAAGGGUUUUUCUGGUGGGGGAUGGGCUCGCGGCCUAUCUGCUUGUUGGUGGGGUGAUGGCCUACCAAGGCUUUGACGGGUAGCCGGCCUGAGAGGGUGACCGGGCACAUUGGGACUGAGAUACGGCCCAGACUACUACGGGGGGCAGCAGUGGGGAAUAUUGCAGAAUGGGCGCAAGACUGAUGCAGCGACGCAGCGUGAGGGAUGGAGGCCGUCGGGUUGUGAACCUCUUUCGCUCAUGGUCAAGCCGCAACAAUGGUUGUGGUGAGGGUAGUGGGUAAAGAAGCGCCGGCUAACUACGUG
Molecule: ribosomal RNA, 483 nt
Filed under: uncultured bacterium
Lineage: Bacteria
Description: partial 16S ribosomal RNA
Rfam family: Bacterial small subunit ribosomal RNA
Source: RNAcentral